RNAcentral lists this ribosomal RNA (368 nucleotides) under uncultured organism. RNAcentral's name for it is "bacterial SSU rRNA". It matches the Rfam family "Bacterial small subunit ribosomal RNA", at positions 526 to 896 of the family's 1533-position model. The record is from RNAcentral.
CGUAGGUGGCAAGCGUUGUCCGGAUUUAUUGGGUUUAAAGGGUGCGUAGGUGGCCCUGUAAGUCAGUGGUGAAAUAUCUCAGCUUAACUGAGAGGGUGCCAUUGAUACUGCAGGGCUUGAGUACAGAUGAGGUAGGCGGAAUUGACGGUGUUGCGGUGAAAUGCAUAGAUAUCGUCAAGAACACCGAUAGCGAAGGCAGCUUACCAAGCUGUAACUGACACUGAGGCACGAAAGUGUGGGGAUCAAACAGGAUUAGAUACCCUGGUAGUCCACACUGUAAACGUUGAUGACUCGAUGUUGGCGAUACACAGCCAGCGUCCAAGAGCAAUCGUUAAGUCAUCCACCUGGGGAGUACGCCGGCAACGGUG